This 563-nucleotide ribosomal RNA is filed under the name uncultured bacterium. RNAcentral's name for it is "bacterial SSU rRNA". It matches the Rfam family "Bacterial small subunit ribosomal RNA", at positions 764 to 1325 of the family's 1533-position model. The record is from RNAcentral.
GGGAGCAAACAGGAUUAGAUACCCUGGUAGUCCACGCCGUAAACGAUGAUAACUAGCUGUCAGGGUUCUUAGAACUUUGGUGGCGCAGCUAACGCAUUAAGUUAUCCGCCUGGGGAGUACGGUCGCAAGAUUAAAACUCAAAGGAAUUGACGGGGGCCUGCACAAGCGGUGGAGCAUGUGGUNUAAUUCGAAGCAACGCGCAGAACCUUACCAGCGUUUGACAUGGCUAGUAUGUUUUCCAGAGAUGGAUUACUUCAGUUCGGCUGGCUAGCACACAGGUGCUGCAUGGCUGUCGUCAGCUCGUGUCGUGAGAUGUUGGGUUAAGUCCCGCAACGAGCGCAACCCUCGCCUUUAGUUACCAUCAUUUAGUUGGGUACUCUAAAGGAACCGCCGGUGAUAAGCCGGAGGAAGGUGGGGAUGACGUCAAGUCCUCAUGGCCCUUACGCGCUGGGCUACACACGUGCUACAAUGGCGACUACAGUGGGCAGCAAUCCCGCGAGGGUGAGCUAAUCUCCAAAAGUCGUCUCAGUUCGGAUUGCACUCUGCAACUCGAGUGCAUGAAG